UACAUCCUGCGGUGUGCGUUACGGCAUUUCCUUGUUUUGAACCAAUGGCUGAAUGAAGGGAGACCUACAUCGAGAUGCAGCUGUCAUGCCCCCGAAAAGGGACUUCAAAAGCGUCUCUGCGGUCACCCACCUGCGAGAGCGGGUUCAGAAACAAGCUUGCCGGACGGCAAACGCGGGGAUGU
RNAcentral lists this non-coding RNA (182 nucleotides) under Paenibacillus sp. 598K. RNAcentral's name for it is "6S RNA". It matches the Rfam family "6S / SsrS RNA". From Rfam's summary of the family: E. coli 6S RNA was the first non coding RNA to be sequenced, but its function was unknown until recently. It consists of 184 nucleotides that fold into an extended hairpin structure with a large single-stranded internal bulge. The 6S RNA specifically associates with RNA polymerase holoenzyme containing the sigma70 specificity factor. Lineage: Bacteria; Bacillati; Bacillota; Bacilli; Caryophanales; Paenibacillaceae. The record is from RNAcentral.